UACGUAGGGGGCAAGCGUUGUCCGGAUUCAUUGGGCGUAAAGAGCUCGUAGGCGGUCUGUCGCGUCGGCUGUGAAAUCCCGAGGCUCAACCUCGGGUCUGCAGUCGAUACGGGCAAACUAGAGUAUUGCAGGGGAGACUGGAAUUCCUGGUGUAGCGGUGAAAUGCGCAGAUAUCAGGAGGAACACCGGUGGCGAAGGCGGGUCUCUGGGCAAUAACUGACGCUGAGGAGCGAAAGCGUGGGGAGCGAACAGG
This 253-nucleotide ribosomal RNA is filed under the name uncultured bacterium. RNAcentral's name for it is "partial 16S ribosomal RNA". It matches the Rfam family "Bacterial small subunit ribosomal RNA", at positions 524 to 776 of the family's 1533-position model. The record is from RNAcentral.